Long non-coding RNA from Pseudophryne corroboree (corroboree frog), 549 nucleotides. RefSeq lists it as uncharacterized. Lineage: Eukaryota; Metazoa; Chordata; Amphibia; Anura; Myobatrachidae. The record is from RefSeq and is a predicted model, not a curated record. The transcript is spliced from 4 exons.
CUCUCCUCCGUGUGCUGUGCUCUACUCCGACCCCCUCCUCCAGCUCUCCUGCACUGUACACUGGCUUCCGGGUACAGGAGAGACGGCUGCUGCUGCUGCUUAACACAGCAAGUGAAGUCUCUCCCUCCGUCCCUCCCAUGCUCCCGUCCAGCUUCGGCUGGUUGCUAUGGGAACUCUCCUGCGACGCGGCGCGCCGUGACGGCGAUGCGGAAGUGUGGCUGGAAGGACUGGCGAGCAGUCGCGCCGUGGAGCAGCGCGAGGUGACAGAGGCGCCGGGCGUCUGUGUUACCAAGACAACCCGACACCACGUCACCAAUGACGCCCAGGGUGUGCGCCGGAACCGGGCUCUGGAGACGGAGCUCCGUGAAGCGCUUGUUCACUUGGCGGGCUUCUCCGGGGUAUUUAGCGCCGGAGACCGGGGACGCAAGCCGGGUUGCCAGGGCAACAAGCUGCAGCCAAUGACAGCCACUUCCAGGAUGACGUCACCGGGACCAGGGGCGCGCCUCCCCAGCCUCCGUGAGCAGCUGAACACACACACACCAGCAGGGA